GGCCUUAAUUUGUACUGAGGGUUGGACUCUUAUGAAUCCUGACAAGUUUCGAGCCAAUCUGACAAUGUACAAUCAAGUUACACCAACUUCCUGUUUCGAUGUCAAAACGCACAAAAUAACUGCCCCGCCAUGGC
Molecule: long non-coding RNA, 134 nt
Organism: Etheostoma spectabile (orangethroat darter)
Lineage: Eukaryota; Metazoa; Chordata; Actinopteri; Perciformes; Percidae
Exons: 3
Source: RefSeq, a predicted model, not a curated record